UAGCCAUGCAUGGUCUAAGUAUAAGCGACUAUACUGUGAAACUGCGAAUGGCUCAUUAAAUCAGUUAUGGUUUAUUUGAUGGUACCUACUACUUGGAUAACCGUAGUAAUUCUAGAGCUAAUACAUGCAGGAAGACCCGACUCACGAAGGGUUGUAUUUAUUAGAUAAGAAACCUUCCCCUUUGGGUUGCGUGCCGAGUCACAAUAACUGCUCGAAUCGCAUGGCUUCACGCCGGCGAUGGUUCAUUCAAAUUUCUGCCCUAUCAGCUUUCGAUGGUAGGAUCGAGGCCUACCAUGGCGUUUACGGGUAACGGAGAAUUAGGGUUCGAUUCCGGAGAGGGAGCCUGAGAGAUGGCUACCACAUCCAAGGAAGGCAGCAGGCGCGUAAAUUGCCCGAAUCCUGACACAGGGAGGUAGUGACAAGAAAUAACAAUACAGGGCUACAUCUAGUCUUGUAAUUGGAAUGAGUACAAUUUACAUCUCUUCACGAGGAUCAAUUGGAGGGCAAGUCUGGU
This 514-nucleotide ribosomal RNA is filed under the name Haptophyta environmental samples. RNAcentral's name for it is "SSU rRNA". It matches the Rfam family "Eukaryotic small subunit ribosomal RNA", at positions 46 to 565 of the family's 1831-position model. The record is from RNAcentral. Lineage: Eukaryota; Haptophyta.